UCAAUUUCCUCUGAGGAUUGGGAUUUUUGCAGUGCUUUUCAAGUUUAUUUAGUGUGGUUUUGCUAAUUUCAAGGUGAUUUUGGACAAAAUUUGGUGCAGGAGUAAGGAUGAAUGGUUUAGAAUGGAUUUUUAGUUGAUAUCUUGAAUUAUUUCUAGAAGGAUUUUGCUCUUUACUCUUUGAUGAAUUUAGCAGAAAGUCUUUUAGAAUGAAAUUUAAGCAUUAUGCUCUUUAGUGGACCGAGUUCUCUAGGAAAAACUAGAAGAUCACAUGGAAAACAUGAACUAGAUUGAGCUCUGUAUUCUGUAAUAUGGUUAAAUGUGUAUGCAUAUUUGCCUUAUGUAUGACCCUUACCUCGUAAUUCUUUACGACAAGUUUGAAUUCUAACAUUCUGGUGCGCUUGCCUUCUUAAAACGAUUACAAGGUGUGGAGAGCCUAAUGGCAUAGAACCUUUGUGGAGAGUCCAUGCAUGCAGCUCCAGGAGUUGUCAGAGUUGUCAGGCACCUGGACUAACGGGAUAGUGAUUUGAUUCUUAUAUCUAAAAGAGAGGGCUCAGAGCAUAGCAGGUUUGUGAAUGCAUGGACCUAAUUCAGCAAAGGCAAAUGCCAUACUAAGCAUAGUCAAAUGAAAUUACAUAGAUCCCUCUGAUUUGGAAGGAUGACAAAGCAUGACCUGGAGCACAUGGUGAAUGCUAUUUACAAAACUAAAUCAUAGUGCGAACAAGCAAUGUGAUUGCCAGUGAAUUUAUUGCUCAACAUUAUUUGCAACACUGUUAGCAGUUUUAAUAAUAUAACAAAAUCUUAAUAAGAACAACCAACAUUUUAUGCUCAAACUCAUAAGAUAGAAGUAAUAUGAGCCUUUGGAUGGUAGGGCUCAGAGAAAGAUUGGAUUGCACAUUUGGACAUUCAUUCAAACUCAUGAUUAUAGGCUUAUAGUUUUUUUUUUUAACUAAUUACAUAAAUUUAUUUUCUUUA
Molecule: long non-coding RNA, 972 nt
Organism: Cryptomeria japonica (Japanese cedar)
Lineage: Eukaryota; Viridiplantae; Streptophyta; Pinopsida; Cupressales; Cupressaceae
Exons: 4
Source: RefSeq, a predicted model, not a curated record